Molecule: long non-coding RNA, 439 nt
Organism: Rhinichthys klamathensis goyatoka
Lineage: Eukaryota; Metazoa; Chordata; Actinopteri; Cypriniformes; Leuciscidae
Exons: 3
Source: RefSeq, a predicted model, not a curated record
AAUUUGUCAUUGCAGAAGAAUAUUAAAAAAGACAAAACCAUAUCCAAACAUUAUAGAAGUUUUGGAUCUUUUCUCUAUUUUAGGCGGAUGUCCAAGACCCCCUGAUUCAGCAUGACAACACUGCCCUCCCGACCUCCUCAUCCUCAACUAAAGCUUCUGCUUAACUCAAUUAAACUCGCAACUGCGUGGAGAGUCUGGGUCAGACAUGACAUUUCUUUUGCUACAUUUUGAGAUGUGACACCAAUUCAACAGGUGAACCAUGGAUCAAGGCCGCUAUUAUAUACACGGAUUUUGUCUUCUUUGUAAUCAUCAUCAGGUGCUUUUAGUGACUUUAAAGUGACAUUCACAGGCGAGUUUUUGAUUGGACAAAACUAAAUUUGUAUAUCUGUUUUUAUCCGCAUGCUCAUACAGUACAUGUAAGCCAUGAUUUGAUUCUGAG